Molecule: ribosomal RNA, 468 nt
Filed under: uncultured bacterium
Lineage: Bacteria
Description: partial 16S ribosomal RNA
Rfam family: Bacterial small subunit ribosomal RNA
Source: RNAcentral
GACGAACGCUGGCGGCGUGCUUAACACAUGCAAGUCGAACGGAAAGGCCCUGCUUUUGUGGGGUGCUCGAGUGGCGAACGGGUGAGUAACACGUGAGUAACCUGCCCUUGACUUUGGGAUAACUUCAGGAAACUGGGGCUAAUACCGGAUAGCAGCUCCUGCUGCAUGGUGGGGGUCGGAAAGUUUCGGCGGUUGGGGAUGGACGCGCGGCUUAUCAGCUUGUUGGUGGGGUAGUGGCUUACCAAGGCUUUGACGGGUAGCCGGCCUGAGAGGGUGACCGGCCACAUUGGGACUGAGAUACGGCCCAGACUCCUACGGGAGGCAGCAGUGGGGAAUAUUGCACAAUGGGCGGAAGCCUGAUGCAGCAACGCCGCGUGCGGGAUGACGGCCUUCGGGUUGUAAACCGCUUUCGCCUGUGACGAAGCGUGAGUGACGGUAAUGGGUAAAGAAGCACCGGCUAACUACGUG